CCUACGUGUGUCAGCAGUGAGGAAUAUUGGUCAAUGGACGAAAGGCUGAACCAGCCAAGCCGCGUGCGGGAAGACGGCUCUAUUAGUUGUACACCGCUUUUGUACGAGUGUAAACCUGAUUACGUGUGUUCCGCUGAGAGUCCUGUACGAAUAAGCAUCGGCUAACUCCGUGCCAGCAGCCGCGGUAAUACGGAUGAUGCGAGCGUUAUCCGUAUUUAUUGGGUUUAAAGGGUGCGUAGGCGGAAUGAUAAGUUAGAGGUGAAAUGUCCGGGGUUAACUCCGGAACUGCCUCUGAUACUGCGGAGCUAGAGAGCAGGAGCGGUAUGCGGAAUGUAUGGUGUAGCGGUGAAAUGCAUAGAGAUCACACAGAACACCGAUUGCGAAGGCAGCUUACCAGUGUAUAUCUGACGUUGAGGCACGAAAGCGUGGGGAGCAAACAGGAUUAGAUACCCGAGUAGUC
This 460-nucleotide ribosomal RNA is filed under the name uncultured bacterium. RNAcentral's name for it is "partial 16S ribosomal RNA". It matches the Rfam family "Bacterial small subunit ribosomal RNA", at positions 338 to 795 of the family's 1533-position model. The record is from RNAcentral.